CUUAAAGAGCUUGCUUUUUAAGCUUAGUGGCGAACGGGUGAGUAACACGUGAGCAACCUGCCUUUCAGUGUGGAAUAACGUUUGGAAACGAACGCUAAUACCGCAUGAUGCAGCGAGAGGGCAUCCUUUUGCUGCCAAAGAUUUAUCGCUGAAAGAUGGGCUCGCGUCCGAUUAGCUAGUUGGUGAGGUAACGGCUCACCAAGGCCGCGAUCGGUAGCCGGACUGAGAGGUUGAACGGCCACAUUGGGACUGAGACACGGCCCAGACUCC
RNAcentral lists this ribosomal RNA (270 nucleotides) under uncultured Oscillospiraceae bacterium. RNAcentral's name for it is "partial 16S ribosomal RNA". It matches the Rfam family "Bacterial small subunit ribosomal RNA", at positions 70 to 339 of the family's 1533-position model. Lineage: Bacteria; Bacillati; Bacillota; Clostridia; Eubacteriales; Oscillospiraceae. The record is from RNAcentral.